GUAUGUUUGUUUGUAUGUACCUACAUACCAGGGAUGCCAACCCUCCGUCUUUUUACGUAGAUCUCCGUAUUUUAAAGGAGAUCUACGUGUCUACGUGUAAUGAGACUAAAACUACGUACUUUUAAAAAAUAUUGUAAAAUACCCUAAAAACUAAAAUUUUUGAGUAAUAUCAAUAUAUUGUGUAUUAAAUAAAAAAUAAAAUAUGAUUUAUAUUGGGUUAGCAGCACUAAAAUAUGCGAAACCCUUUUUAAAUGGGUUAGCAGCGCUAAAUUGCAAAAAGAUUGGCAUGGCUUACUUUCAAUUUUGUGCUUGAAAUUGGAGGGAAAGAAACUAAUGUGAAUGUAAAAAAAUGGAUUUUUUAACAAGUGACACCGACGAAGAAGCAAACGUAACUCCGACAAAGAAAAUGAAAGUGCACUACGAUGUGAAGUACUCAGCAGCUUGGGAAAAAACGUAUUCCUGGUUGACGAAAAGCAGUAAGGGCAUCGAUCAACCAACAAUAUUAUCUUUAUUGCCUGAGGCGUCAACGUCUUAUAAAAAUAUGGUUAAAUGUGCUGAAAUUAAGAUGGCAUUCUUUUUGGCGAAAAACAAUCUUCCCUUUAGUUUGGCGGAAGAUUUAAGCAGUGUCAUACAAUCUGUUGCUAGUGAUUCAAAAAUCGUAGGUUCAUUAAAAUUUGGACGGACAAAGGCUCAAGCUAUAAUAACAUCGGUAACUGGACAAUUGGCAGAGGACGAGUUAAUAGAACGUUUAAAAUCGAAUAAGUUUUCGCUUAUUGUCGAUGAAAGUACAGACAGAUCUACAACGAAACAUUUUGCUCUUAUUGCAAGAACUGCAGUGGCAUUUAAAGUACAAGAUAGCUUUUUGGGUCUUAUUGCAGUCACUGACAGCUCUGCCACGGCAUUGCAUAAUGAAUGCAAGAAAUUUUUUGAAGAAAGGCACAUAUGAUAUGAGCAGAACAUGAUAGGAUUCGCUGCGCAUGGAUGCAAUGCAAUGUUUGGCCAAAACCAUUCUCUUUCGCAACUGCUGAAGAAGGAUAUUCCUAAUUUGUUUUUGAUUAAAUGUAUAUGUCAUUCAUUUCACCUCUGCGCGUCUUAUGCUUGCAAAAAAUUGCCAAAAAAAAGUGGAAGAAUUUGCAAGAGAUGUAUAUAACUUUAUAUCAAAAAGCCCAAAACGUAUCGGAGACUAUAAGGAGUUUUAGUCUUUCGUUAAUGUGAAACCACACAAACUUUUACAUAUUGGACAAUCAAGGUGGCUAUCUCUGCUUCAAGUAGUUGAAAGGCUGUUAGAACAACUUCCUGCGUUAAAACUGUAUUUUCAAGGAGCUGUAUUGAAUGACCAGUUAAAAUAUGCAGAGCCGAUUCUCCAAAUGUGUUUAGAUUCGACGACAGAACUGUAUUUGGAGUUUCUGAAAUUUGUGCUACCGUAUUUCAACAAUUUAAACAAGGAAAUGCAGUCAGAAAGUCCAAAAUUGUAUUUGCUUUACGAAAAUGUUCUUGCAGUUUACAAGACAAUAGUUGAGUGCUUUCUAAAAUCUGAUUUUUUAUUAUUACCUGAUGAAGAAUUAAUAAAAAUUGAUUUCGCUAACGAAGAUAACCACUUGCCCUUAAAAAAUAUGUAUUUCGGAGGAAACUUUGCGGCUUUGUUGACAAAAAAAACAUAACCUGGAACGAGAUGAAAUCAUCGAGAUUCAAAACUCUUGCCUUCAAUUUUAUAUUGAAAGUUUAAGGCAACUACAAAAUCGGUUUUCCUUUGAGGAUGAGGAGCUACAGAAAAUGAAAAGCUUACACUUUUUUAAUCCAGCGACAAUACUCAACAAUAGUUUGAAAGCAAAGCUACCAUCUAUUGCACAUUUAGGGCAAAUGUUUCCAGGAUUGUGUUCGCAAGAUAUGACGGAGCUAGACCGCGAAUGGCGGCUUCUCCGGAACAUGAAAUUUCCCUUCAAAGAGGAGGAAGCGGUACCGCCCGAAGACUUUUGGCGUUAUGUUUCAAACGUAAAAAAUGGAAAUUCAACCCAGACGGAGCUAACCCAAAAUUUGCUUGUUUUGCCACAUAGCAGUGCUAAUGUUGAGCGUUUAUUUUCAGAAAUUAAUUUAAUUAAGACAAAUAAUAGAAACAAAUUAGACACGGAGACUUUAAAAGGAUUGCUUCACACCAAAAGUGGAUUAAAGGAAAACUUAGAGCCUUCUGACAAGCACUUUAAAUAUUUUAAUCAAAAUAUGUACAAAUUUUUGUAAGCCAUGUAAAUAAAUUAAAAUGUAUAAUUUGAAUAUUGUUAAGUUUAAAAAACAGUACGUAGAUCUCCGUAUUUCAGUAAAGUUGUGCUACGGAAAAACACGUAGAUUUUGGAGCCGGGCUACGUAAUUCUCAAAUUUUGACUUGGCAUCCCUGCUACAUACAUAUGUAUAUAAUUUUCUCAAAUUGACGUGAAAGUAAGGCGAUACUUACAUACAUAUGUAUGUACAUACAUGUACAUACAUAUGUAUGCCAAUUGAGACUAAUCGAUGGUUUUUGGAACAGUGAGCAUAAUAAAUUACAAAGCAGUUUGCUCAAGACAAAAGAUGAAAUCAGAAGCGGAUACAAACUCAUCGAUACAUCGUCAGCGACAGUCACAAAGAAAACACAUACCUACAUACUUGCAUACAUAUGUAUGUAUGUAUGUAUGUAUAUCAAGUGUUGAAGAAACGAUGACCAGAAAAUGAAAGACCGAAAGAAGAAAGUGAGUUGCGCAAUAAUUACGUCAUCACAUUAAAUGCGUCGACGGUCGUAGCGUAAACAUCACUAAAAUAGCAGGUAUGUACAUAUGUACAUAUGUGUGUAUGUAUGUAUUGGGGAACUGAAAAAACGCAAGUGCGACCACAGAGUUUUGGGGUUGGACCCGCAUACGUACAUAUGUACAUAUGUAUGUAAGUAUGUACAUACAGUGGCUCACACCUUAUUUCGUGCAGCAGCAUAGUAAAACUUUGAAACCGUAUUCCCGUUAAACCAGUAAAGAUAUCCCAAAAAUUGAAAUGAGGUCUUAUUUAUUGGAUAUUCAUUAUGUAUUGACGCACUUAAUUAUGUUUCUAUUAUAAUUACAUAAUAAAAUUUAAAACUAAAGAAAACUAAAAAA
This is a long non-coding RNA of Drosophila mojavensis, 3110 nucleotides long. RefSeq lists it as uncharacterized. The record is from RefSeq and is a predicted model, not a curated record. NCBI's taxonomy places the organism in Eukaryota, Metazoa, Arthropoda, Insecta, Diptera, Drosophilidae. The transcript has 3 exons.